CUGUUUUGCUGCCCCAACUACAACCGCUGCCCCAACUACAACCACAGUCCCAACUACAACUUCAACAGCUAAAACUACAACCACUGCCCCUACUGCAACUACAACCACCACCGCAACUACAACUACAUCUACAACCACUACAACAACAACCACCGUCCCAACUACAACCAGUACAACUACAACCACCACCCCAACAACCACUGUCCCAACUACAACCAGUACAACGCCAACCACCACCCCAACAACCAUUGUCCCAACCACAACCAGUACAACGGUAACCACCACCCCAACGACAACAAGUACUACGACAACCACCACCCCAACGACAACCACUACAACUACAACCACAGUCCCAACGACAACCAGUACAACUACAACCACUGCCUCAACAACAACCACCACCCCGGCUACAACCACUACAACUCCAACCACUACCCCAACUAUAACCACCGCCCUAACUACAGCUACAUCCAGUACCCCAACUAUAACCUCCGCCUCAACAACAGCUACUGCCCCAACUACAACUUUCACCCCAACUACAACCACGGCCCCAACUACAACCACUACACCAAGUACAACCACCGCCUCAACAACCACCACUCAAACGACAACCAUCACCCCAAAAACAACCACCGCUCCAACAACAAUCACCGCCCCAACUACAGCUACUUCCAGUACCCCAACUACAACAACCACCUCAACAACCACCACCACAACUACAACUGUCACCCCAACUACAACCACAGCCACAACUACAACCACCACCCCAACUACAACUACCGCCACAACUACAGCCACCACCCCAACUACAACUACAACCACCACCCCAACUACAACUACCGCCGCAACUACAACCACCACCCCAACUACAACUACAACCACCACCCCAACUACAACUACAACCACCACCACAACUACAACCACCGCCUCAACUACAAGCUCUAAAGCUACAACUGCUACAUCAACUGCAACAACUGCCUCUACAACCAAAAGUGACGCUUGUUCCAUCAGACUGGGAAUGAUCCACCUGCUGCUUGGACUCCUUCUCUUUACCUUUCAUUAAAGUCCCGAAUAACACAAAAACAAACAAAAAAACAUAUGAUGCUAUAGCAAGACUCACAAACCUUUUCGAGAUUUGAGUUGUGUUUACAAAUCACUGUUAAACUGAAGUCCAUGAAAAAAAGGCGAUAGAGUAUUGUUGAAGCGGACUUGGAAUAAGUAUGUAAGACUUCUUUCUUUGUUGGCAUGGACAGUUGUGUCAGUUCAAUACUUCAUAUUAUUUAUAAUAUUUAUUUUAAAUAUGCGUUAUAUGCAUGUUGUUUUCCAUGUAUGCAAAUGUCUGGAUGUUAGUUUAUACCAAGUGGGUGAUACAAAGGAGUCCUUGUAAUAAUAGCAAAGUAUGCUUAGUAAAUAAAAGAAAGAAGCAC
This is a long non-coding RNA of Oreochromis aureus, 1427 nucleotides long. The record is from Ensembl. Lineage: Eukaryota; Metazoa; Chordata; Actinopteri; Cichliformes; Cichlidae.